AACGAACGCUGGCGGCAUGCCUAACACAUGCAAGUCGAACGAGACCUUCGGGUCUAGUGGCGCACGGGUGCGUAACGCGUGGGAACCUGCCCUUAGGUUCGGAAUAACUCCCCGAAAGGGGUGCUAAUACCGGAUAAUGUCUUCGGACCAAAGAUUUAUCGCUUUUGGAUGGGCCCGCGUUGGAUUAGCUAGUUGGUAGGGUAAAAGCCUACCAAGGCGACGAUCCAUAGCUGGUCUGAGAGGAUGAUCAGCCACACUGGGACUGAGACACGGCCCAGACUCCUACGGGAGGCAGCAGUGGGGAAUAUUGGACAAUGGGCGAAAGCCUGAUCCAGCAAUGCCGCGUGAGUGAUGAAGGCCUUAGGGUUGUAAAGCUCUUUUACCCGGGAUGAUAAUGACAGUACCGGGAGAAUAAGCUCCGGCUAACUCCGU
This 432-nucleotide ribosomal RNA is filed under the name uncultured bacterium. RNAcentral's name for it is "partial 16S ribosomal RNA". It matches the Rfam family "Bacterial small subunit ribosomal RNA", at positions 29 to 506 of the family's 1533-position model. The record is from RNAcentral.